AGUGAACGCUGGCGGUAGGCCUAACACAUGCAAGUCGAACGGCAGCACAGUAAGAGCUUGCUCUUACGGGUGGCGAGUGGCGGACGGGUGAGGAAUACAUCGGAAUCUACUUUUUCGUGGGGGAUAACGUAGGGAAACUUACGCUAAUACCGCAUACGACCUACGGGUGAAAGCAGGGGAUCUUCGGACCUUGCGCGAUUGAAUGAGCCGAUGUCGGAUUAGCUAGUUGGCGGGGUAAAGGCCCACCAAGGCGACGAUCCGUAGCUGGUCUGAGGGGAUGAUCAGCCACACUGGAACUGAGACACGGUCCAGACUCCUACGGGAGGCAGCAGUGGGGAAUAUUGGACAAUGGGCGCAAGCCUGAUCCAGCCAUACCGCGUGGGUGAAGAAGGCCUUCGGGUUGUAAAGCCCUUUUGUUGGGAAAGAAAAGCAGCAGGUUAAUACCGCGCUGUUCUGACGGUACCCAAAGAAUAAGCACCGGCUAACUUCGUG
Molecule: ribosomal RNA, 492 nt
Filed under: uncultured bacterium
Lineage: Bacteria
Description: partial 16S ribosomal RNA
Rfam family: Bacterial small subunit ribosomal RNA
Source: RNAcentral